AAGACUGUUCUUCUAGGGAUAAUUUCUAUAGUUCAGUCCCAGAGAAGGUUCUCUGACAGUGUGGAGCACCGGAAACCACAAGGAGGCACAGCAAUCUCUCCUGAGCGAGGAGCCUGCUCUUAGUGUUGUUUUGUUGUGGCUGCUGUUUGCCACUGUCAAUCGUUCUCUUCUUUCAGGAGAGUAAGAAGGGGAGGGUGCAGUCUGAGUGGU
This 210-nucleotide small nucleolar RNA is filed under the name Aotus nancymaae (Ma's night monkey). RNAcentral describes it as "Small nucleolar RNA U3 (ENSANAG00000004947.1)". It matches the Rfam family "Small nucleolar RNA U3". From Rfam's summary of the family: Small nucleolar RNAs (snoRNAs) are involved in the processing and modification of rRNA in the nucleolus. There are two main classes of snoRNAs: the box C/D class, and the box H/ACA class. U3 snoRNA is a member of the box C/D class. Lineage: Eukaryota; Metazoa; Chordata; Mammalia; Primates; Aotidae. The record is from Rfam by way of RNAcentral.